GGGAGGGACAGUGGUGCCCGUGUUCUGACUGACUGACUCUGGGAGGGACAGUGGUGCCCGUGUUCUGACUGACUGACUCUGGGAGGGACAGUGGUGCCCGUGUUCUGACUGACUGACUCUGGGAGGGACGGUGGUGCCUGUGUUCUGACUGACUGACUCUGGGACAGACUGACUCUGGGGGGGACAGUGGUGCCCAUGUUCUGACUGACUGGGAGGGACGGUGGUACCUGUGUUCUGACUGACUGACUGACUCUCCGGUUUUGUUUCUGUUUAGAUGAGUUCUGGUUCUCCGAUGGGUCCUUAUCAGAUAAGUCCAAGUGCGCAGAUCCUGGCCUGAUGCCCCUCCCAGACACAGCCACAGGGUUAGAUUGGACCCACCUCGUGGACGCUGCACGGGCAUUUGAAGACCAGAGGGUGGCAUCCUUCUGCACCCUGACAGAUAUGC
This 445-nucleotide small RNA is filed under the name Pongo abelii (Sumatran orangutan). RNAcentral describes it as "processed transcript". Lineage: Eukaryota; Metazoa; Chordata; Mammalia; Primates; Hominidae. The record is from RNAcentral.